AGAACGAACGCUGGCGGCAGGCCUCAAACAUGCAAGUCUAGGGGGUGUAGCAAUACAUCACCGGCGGACGGGUGCGUAACGCGUGGGAAUAUACCUUUUGGUUCGGAACAACUGAGGGAAACUUCAGCUAAUACCGAAUGUGCCCUAACGGGGAAAGAUUUAUCGCCAAAGGAUUAGCCCGCGUAGGAUUAGCUAGUUGGUGAGGUAAUGGCUCACCAAGGCUCCGAUCCUUAGCUGUUCUGAGAGGAAGAUCAGCCACACUGGGACUGAGACACGGCCCAGACUCCUACGGGAGGCAGCAGUUGGGAAUCUUGGACAAUGGGGGAAACCCUGAUCCAGCCAUGCCGCGUGAGUGAUGAAGGCCUUCGGGUUGUAAAACUCUUUCGACGGGGACGAUAAUGACGGUACCCGUAGAAGAAGCUCCGGCUAACUUCGUGCCAGCAGCCGC
This 448-nucleotide ribosomal RNA is filed under the name uncultured bacterium. RNAcentral's name for it is "SSU rRNA". It matches the Rfam family "Bacterial small subunit ribosomal RNA", at positions 26 to 518 of the family's 1533-position model. The record is from RNAcentral.